GUCUGAGAAUAGGCUAGAUACAUGGAUGGAGAGCCAGUGCUUCAGCAUGAAAACCACCUGUCCUGGAAAGGAAGUCUUCCACUUAUGGUUCCUCUGAGCCUAGGAUAUGCUUAUCUUUACUGUUUCUUUGAGGGGUUGUGCAGAAGGAAUUUUUAGCUGACCUGCCAGUGCUGAAUAAUCCUAUGCAGAUUCUUCUGCUGUUUCCAUUAAUUUAGAAGUGCUCAUCACGGUGAAUGUUAUGUGACUACCAAAGGGCUCUCUAAGGUCUAAUUCAUUAUUUUACAGUGGUUAUCAAUUCUUAGUGCUUUGGAAGAAACUAAUUUGCAAAUAGUUAGCACUUCAUUUAAAUAUAAAUUACUUCAGCAGUUAUAAAUUCCAGCUCAAAACCACAAAAUGUUCCAGUAAUAAUGAACUGACCCUUCUCCAAUGCAGAAGAGCAUGCAGAAGUGUCUGCCCAAGAAGUUCAAACUUCUGAGAUGUGUAUGGUCAGCCAGCAGCAAAUGUGUCCCGUGCUUAGGUGAUGUUGUAGACAUCAGCAUGCAGUUGUUAGCGGUGGGGCCAGGCUCAGACCUUACCAGCUCUACCCAGUUUGAGGGGAGAAGGGCUUUGCAUUAGACUUAGCUGGCCAAAUGACUCAAGGUCUUUCAGUGCUGCUUGAGUGCAGUGAAGAGGAAGUGAGGAGGAAAGGGACUCAUUUUCUCUUUGUCCUGGGACCACACCGUUUCUUCUUGGUUUUGAAUGUGUGAGGGACUGACAAGGCAACUGCAGUUGAGGGUCCUGACGUCCCUAGACCCUUACAUGGGCCAAGCUCUGCAGCUGGCCGGUGUCUCCUGCUGCGUUGCUUGCUCUGCCGUGCGCAGGCUGAAGUGGUGCCUCUGUGGUUCAGCAGCUCGCAUUGGGUGCUGGGGAGAAGCAGCGUCCAGGCAGAGAUCGCAGCCUGUGGAGAGGAUGACAGAAGAGAAUGACAAAGUCCCGGUUUGUCCCUGGGGGUCAGUGCUGAUCGGACACAAACACAUCUCUG
This 1021-nucleotide long non-coding RNA is filed under the name Apteryx rowi (Okarito brown kiwi). Its description in RNAcentral is "lncRNA (ENSARWG00000003130.1)". Lineage: Eukaryota; Metazoa; Chordata; Aves; Apterygiformes; Apterygidae. The record is from RNAcentral.